Molecule: ribosomal RNA, 464 nt
Filed under: uncultured bacterium
Lineage: Bacteria
Description: partial 16S ribosomal RNA
Rfam family: Bacterial small subunit ribosomal RNA
Source: RNAcentral
CUACGGGAGGCUCCAGUGGGGAAUUUUGGACAAUGGGCGAAAGCCUGAUCCAGCAAUGCCGCGUGCAGGACGAAGGCCUUCGGGUUGUAAACUGCUUUUGUACGGAACGAAACGGUCUUCUCUAAUAAAGGGGGCUAAUGACGGUACCGUAAGAAUAAGCACCGGCUAACUACGUGCCAGCAGCCGCGGUAAUACGUAGGGUGCAAGCGUUAAUCGGAAUUACUGGGCGUAAAGCGUGCGCAGGCGGUUAUAUAAGACAGAUGUGAAAUCCCCGGGCUCAACCUGGGACCUGCAUUUGUGACUGUAUAGCUAGAGUACGGUAGAGGGGGAUGGAAUUCCGCGUGUAGCAGUGAUAUGCGUAGAUAUGCGGAGGAACACCGAUGGCGAAGGCAAUCCCCUGGACCUGUACUGACGCUCAUGCACGAAAGCGUGGGGAGCAAACAGGAUUAGAUACCCCUGUAGUC